Molecule: ribosomal RNA, 252 nt
Filed under: uncultured bacterium
Lineage: Bacteria
Description: partial 16S ribosomal RNA
Rfam family: Bacterial small subunit ribosomal RNA
Source: RNAcentral
UACGUAGGCAGCGAGCGUUGUUCGGAAUUACUGGGCGUAAAGAGUGUGUAGGCGGUGCUCUAAGUUCGGUGUGAAAUCUCCCGCUUAACUGGGAGGUGCGCCGGAAACUGGAGUGCUCGAGCGUGGGAGAGGAAAGCGGAAGUUCCUGGUGUAGCGGUGAAAUGCGUAGAUAUCAGGAGGAACACCUGCGGUGUAGACGGCUUUCUGGACCAUUGCUGACGCUGAGACACGAAAGCGUGGGUAGCAAACAGG